This 495-nucleotide ribosomal RNA is filed under the name Porohalacarus alpinus. RNAcentral's name for it is "SSU rRNA". It matches the Rfam family "Eukaryotic small subunit ribosomal RNA", at positions 547 to 1045 of the family's 1831-position model. Lineage: Eukaryota; Metazoa; Arthropoda; Arachnida; Trombidiformes; Halacaridae. The record is from RNAcentral.
AUUGGAGGGCAAGUCUGGUGCCAGCAGCCGCGGUAAUUCCAGCUCCAAUAGCGUAUAUUAAAGUUGUUGCGGUUAAAAAGCUCGUAGUUGGAUCUCAGUUCAUGCUAGAUGGUCCGCUUGCCGGCGGUUACUGUCUAGCUGAACAUCUUACAGACCCGUCUUGUGAUGCUCUUAACCGGGUGUCAUGAGCGAUCUGUACGUUUACUUUGAAAAAAUUAGAGUGCUUAAAGCAGGCAUAUUGCCCGAAUAAUCUUGCAUGGAAUAAUGGAAUAGGACCUCGGUUCUAUUUUGUUGGUCUUCGGAAUCUGAGGUAAUGAUUAAGAGGGACAGACGGGGGCAUUCGUAUUGCGGCGCUAGAGGUGAAAUUCUUGGACCGUCGCAAGACGAACUACAGCGAAAGCAUUUGCCAAGAAUGUUUUCAUUAAUCAAGAACGAAAGUUAGAGGUUCGAAGGCGAUCAGAUACCGCCCUAGUUCUAACCAUAAAACGAUGCCAA